Molecule: unclassified non-coding RNA, 439 nt
Filed under: soil metagenome
Description: partial contains 5.8S ribosomal RNA, internal transcribed spacer 2, and large subunit ribosomal RNA
Rfam family: 5.8S ribosomal RNA (bases 1-120)
Source: RNAcentral
GAUGAAGAACGUAGCGAAAUGCGAUAAGUAGUGUGAAUUGCAGAAUUCAGUGAAUCAUCGAAUCUUUGAACGCACAUUGCGCUUCCUGGUAUUCCGGGGAGCAUGCCCGUUUCAGAAUCACAAAAAACACCUCUCUUUCCUUCUGGACAGGGGAAUAGUGGAUGGUUUGUGCGUAAAAACGCAAUCAUCUUAAUGACAUUGUGCAAUGCUACCAACUACGUUUUGGUCGGCUUCCCAAAGUGCAACAAAUUCGUUAACGCUUUGGUAGCUGCCAGAACCGGUUGGCGAAAUGCGCUCUGCCAAGGGUAAAAUGAAAGGCUGUCCUCGCGUGCUGUCACCAGCUGGCUUGGCGCAACCUUUUGUUUUCUCUCUUUAAAACACCUGGUCUGAAAUCGGGCAAGAAAACCCGCUGAACUUAAGCAUAUCAAUAAGCGGAGGA